CACAAGCGGUGGAGCAUUGUGGUUUAAUUCGACGCAACGCGAAGAACCUUACCAGGGCUUGACAUCCUCUGACCGCAUAUGAAAGUAUGUUUUCUGGCUUCGGUCAGACAGAGAGACAGGUGGUGCAUGGUUGUCGUCAGCUCGUGUCGUGAGAUGUUGGGUUAAGUCCCGCAACGAGCGCAACCCCUACGUUUAGUUGCUAACGUGUAACGAUGAGCACUCUAGGCGGACUGCCGUUGACAAAACGGAGGAAGGUGGGAUGACGUCAAAUCAUCAUGCCCCUUAUGUUCUGGGCUACACACGUGCUACAAUGGCCGGUACAAAGGGACGCAAAGCCGCGAGGUGGAGCAAAUCCGAUAAAAGCCGGUCUCAGUUCGGAUUGCAGGCUGCAAUUCGCCUGCAUGAAGUCGGAAUCGCUAGUAAUCGCAGGUCAGCAUACUGCGGUGAAUACGUUCCCGGGCCUU
RNAcentral lists this ribosomal RNA (464 nucleotides) under uncultured Cryptanaerobacter sp. Its description in RNAcentral is "bacterial SSU rRNA". It matches the Rfam family "Bacterial small subunit ribosomal RNA", at positions 924 to 1382 of the family's 1533-position model. Lineage: Bacteria; Bacillati; Bacillota; Clostridia; Eubacteriales; Desulfotomaculaceae. The record is from RNAcentral.